This 21-nucleotide microRNA is filed under the name Medicago truncatula (barrel medic). RNAcentral's name for it is "mtr-miR2119". The record is from miRBase by way of RNAcentral. Lineage: Eukaryota; Viridiplantae; Streptophyta; Magnoliopsida; Fabales; Fabaceae.
UCAAAGGGAGGUGUGGAGUAG